This is a long non-coding RNA of Phascolarctos cinereus (koala), 2434 nucleotides long. Lineage: Eukaryota; Metazoa; Chordata; Mammalia; Diprotodontia; Phascolarctidae. The record is from Ensembl.
CUAGAGCAGAAUAUCAUUUAGGGGACUUAAAGACUCAAGAUCUUCACUCCUAGGAUGAGGGAUGGAUUACUUGCCCCUCCUUACUCUGCCCCCAUCACCCUUUUCCUGAAGAGGACAUCAGACACUGCUGAAAGGGUCAGGGGGAGGUCCAUACCUGGCUGGAAGGACCCUGAGCCUCAAAUGCCACGUGUCUGGCUUUCAGUUCAAUACAAGCCGACUAGGCUGAUACCUUUGGGCUGCUGGACAUUCCCCAUUGUGGCUGACCAGCCUCGACAGCACAUUUUCAGAAGCCAGAGAAGACCUAGCAGCAGGAGAACCACGACCUGAGCAGGGGAACCAGGUGCUCCUUGGACUGCUGGGAUUGAGAAUGUUAUUGAUGAAGACUGUGGCUAUCAACAACCUGCUCACCGCCCUGGUCUUGAUUUUUGAUCUUACCACCCCAUGAAAUUAUCCCAUUAAUCCUUGUCUAUUUUCUGCUCCCUCAAAUUUCCAUUCAGCUGUCCUACCCAACCCCAAUUCAUACUCAGCCUCUUUUUUCUCAGUCUUCUCUCUGUCCUUUCAUCCCCCCCACAACCCUAACCUUACGAUCUCAUGCCUAUUCCCCUAGGCAUUUCAUAGUCUUCUCUCUGCUUUCAUCCCUCUGUUCCCUUAGAUUUUUCUUUAUUUUUCAAGUCUCCUCUCUUGCCUAUUAUUCUUUCUGUCCCUAUGACGUCCCUUUUGUGUGCAGAAAGGGGGAAUGAACAGAAGGGAACAAGCUGCUUCUAGAUGAGUUUGACCUCUCACUCCCUGACACUUGACUUCUGACUUUAGUUUCUCUAGAAGCCUGGGAAACAACAUUGUGGGAGCCACCAUUUGGACCCUGCUGUGACCAUUUGAGUCCCAGAAUUAUCCCAGUGACCCCAGUCACAUUCAUUCAUUCCUGAGAUUCAGAAUAGUCAAUUCUGAGUGUGUGUCCCCUGAAAUAGUCAAGACAUUCCUUUCUUAGAGGUCGUGAUAUAGAAGUGGGAGUGGGGGGGGGACGGACAGAUUAUCAUAGCCCAGAUUCUCCAGGUUUCCAUAGCUUGGGUAGCAGCAACAAUUCCCACUAUUACCUUUUUUCCCUAUAUGAGGCUUAUUUUGGGGGUACACACCAGGUUGCAACCUCCAGUUCAUGUUCUUGGGAUUGUGGCCAUGUGGGCUGCUUGGAGUCAGUAGGGGUCACGUACCAUGACAGAAGUUAGGCUGUGAAGGUUGGGGAUGAGUGAGGGAGAAAAUCAGCCACAUCAUCUUCUAAUGCUUACUUUCUCUUACCAUGUCCCUGGGGAGGUCACCACCCUUCAUUCUUAUAGUUGAGGAAGAAAUCACGUGGGGGAGGGAUCUUAAUUUCCAUCAGGAUAAACAUGUGUCAGAUGUAUGGAGGAACUUCCUGGUGCAAGAUCUUGAGUCCCUAAUGUUAUCUAUGUCCUAUCCCUGUCCCCAAGGCUAUUCCUGAGGUAAGGAGCAUAAGGAUACUUUAGGACACAACUCAGAGCCUAGAUUUCCUCUGAGAUGCAACUGAAUCUAAUUAGAGUCCUUUGCACCCUCAAAGAUCAAAUGUUAGUGUUGUGUGAAUCACUGUUUCCCUGGUAAGAGAGGAAAUGCAAGGAAGGCCCAGGAAUACACACUUCUAAAAGGAAUCCAGGAGACCCAGGGGUCCAAGCAGGGAAAAAUCCUAAUGGGAGACAAGGACACAUGGCCAAGAAUGGGAAUGGAUAGGACAAUCCCUCGGGCUGUGGGAGAAAAGAACAAGGGAGUGAGUUGGGAGUCCUGGAGUUGAAUUUAGCCUCAGAUGCAGACACUCUUUUGAAGGAAACAAGCAUUUAUUAAGUGAUUACUAUGUGCCAGGAACCAUACCAAGCUCUGGAAAUACAAAUAUAAGAAAGAAGAAAGACAGUGCCUGCCCUCAAAGAGUUUACAUUCUAAUGUGAGAAGACAACACAAAAGGGAGCUAAAAGGGGGGAAAGGGAAAGGAUGAAGACACUCAAGGGAAUGGUUUUGAAGUACAAAAGCCAGAAGCAGAGCCAAGAAGAGGAUAAAGGCCAGCCUGAGAACCUCCACAAAAUGGAGACUUGAAGAGGAAUUCACCGAUAGGAUUACAGGGUGGGCCCCAAAGAGACAUAUUCUAGGUUGAAGAGAUUGCAGGCACUUUAGGAUGUGGUAGGGUGAGGGGCCCUGGGUGUUAAAGGAAGUCUAGAACGAGGCAAUGUUGAGACAUGGUUUUGAAGACCAGAAGCCAAGAACAGUCUCCUUGGUCCCAAGUGUGAGAAAAAACAAACAAAUUUUAAAAAGCCACAUAUGAACAAAGAAAUGUUCCAAGAUUAAACUUGUUGAGUGAGAUAAUGCCAGAGGAGUAUGGGAAAACUGACAUGCCAUCUUUCCUGAGCUCCAAUCAAAUAAAUCAAUUAUCUGAGGUUCA